Megalopta genalis is the source of this 1050-nucleotide long non-coding RNA. RefSeq lists it as uncharacterized. Lineage: Eukaryota; Metazoa; Arthropoda; Insecta; Hymenoptera; Halictidae. The record is from RefSeq and is a predicted model, not a curated record.
GAUUUGUACCCUGUUGAGUAAUCUUCCCAUUGUCAGGAUCGCUCCAGGAUCGAAACGCGAUGGCAUACCAAUCGCCCGGCGCGGGUGCGUGUAUCCUAAUCUCGUACUCGUCGCCGUUGCUCUCCAUGUUCAAUGCGUAAUACCGACGUCUACCUUGCAUCAGUUUCGCGGCUAUUUUCGAGCCGUCGGGUCGCACGAACGGUAAACUGCCUGACUUCAAGAACAACGAGACGUUCCUCGGCGAGCAUCUACCUAUUCCGCCAGUUUUCUCUUCUUCGACAGUGAACCUGAAACGCGUCGCUUAAUUAGAGCAAGUAUAAGUCAGUUUAUCCUACGGGUGAAACGGCGCGCUUACCUGAACGCCGCAGCGACCGUGCAGUCCGGCACGUUGAAGUGGAUGAUCGAGAUGUGACGGUAAGCGUAAUAAUCGUCGAGAACGACGUUCAGCCGUUGCGCGACCCGCUCGAGUUUGCCGCAUAGCGUUUGCUCUUUCGUAAGGAUCCAUGCCAAUGAGAAGGCUAGCACGAUGUGUCGCAUAUUAUAAUUCCUGCGAUCCGCCACAUAACAAGAUACCUCUUUUGUCCGUUAGAUGAAUCCUUCCGCUUUGCUAUCCUGCACAGAAAGCACAGUAUUGUCACCAUUAAGGAUAUGGCCUUGGAACAAUCGGUCGUUAACAGCUUGGAACACAAGGUUUCUUAACGAAUCUCCGUCUUAAUCGUUUACGUUAAAAAGUAUACAUUAAAAUUGUAUACGUUACUAGGUUAUGUCCGGUGGAUUCGAGUGGACCUAGUUCUUUUAUUAAGGCUUAAGGUACUGUAUUCCGGAGAAGCGAUCAGCAUCUUCUUUAUAGAGCCGUUAUCAGAAUUGAUGAUUCACCGUGGCACGCUUCUUUACAUGUAAUUGGCCCCCAAGAUAAGUUAAAUGGAGGAGACGGCGACGACAAUGAGGAAGUAUCCCAAUUUGCGGUAAUUCGCGGCCAGGAAAUUAGGAAAGAGGAGCCUACAUCUUCGUCUCGCGUCUGGACGGGUUCCGUGCCUAGACGUGCAACAA